UGGCCAGACUCCUACGGGAGGCAGCAGUGGGGGAUAUUGCACAAUGGGGGGAACCCUGAUGCAGCGACGCCGCGUGGGUGAAGGAGUGCUUCGGCCUGUAAAGCCCUAUCGGCAGGGAAGAAGCAAGACGGUACCUGACUAAGAAGCCCCGGCUAACUACGUGCCAGCAGCCGCGGUAAUACGUAGGGGGCGUGCGUUAUCCGGAUUCACUGGGUGUAAAGGGAGCGUAGACGGCCAUGCAAGCCAGGGGUGAAAGCCCGGGGCCCAACCCCGGGACUGCCCUUGGAACUGCAUGGCUGGAGUGCGGGAGGGGCAGGCGGAAUUCCUGGUGUAGCGGUGAAAUGCGUAGAUAUCAGGAGGAACACCGGCGGCGAAGGCGGCCUGCUGGGCUGCAACUGACGUUGAGGCCCGAAAGCGUGGGGAGCAAACAGGAUUAGAUACCCCAGUAGAA
This 451-nucleotide ribosomal RNA is filed under the name uncultured bacterium. RNAcentral's name for it is "bacterial SSU rRNA". It matches the Rfam family "Bacterial small subunit ribosomal RNA", at positions 328 to 795 of the family's 1533-position model. The record is from RNAcentral.